Molecule: unclassified non-coding RNA, 404 nt
Filed under: soil metagenome
Description: partial contains 5.8S ribosomal RNA, internal transcribed spacer 2, and large subunit ribosomal RNA
Rfam family: 5.8S ribosomal RNA (bases 1-122)
Source: RNAcentral
GAUGAAGAACGUAGCAAAAUGCGAUACUUGGUGUGAAUUGCAGAAUCCCGUGAACCAUCGAGUUUUUGAACGCAAGUUGCGCCCGAAGCCUUUUGGCCGAGGGCACGUCUGCCUGGGCGUCACGCAUCGCGUCGCCCCCCACAAUUCUCCGUAAAGGGAACGUGUGUUUUGGGGGCGGAUAUUGGUCUCCCGUGCUCAUGGCGUGGUUGGCCGAAAUAGGAGUCCUUUCGCUGGACGCACGAACUAGUGGUGGUCGUAAAAACCCUCGUCUUUUGUUUCGUGCUGUUGCUCGCAAGGUAAACUCUUUAAAAACCCCAAUGUGUCGUCUCUUGACGACGCUUCGACCGCGACCCCAGGUCAGGCGGGACUACCCGCUGAGUUUAAGCAUAUCAAUAAGCGGAGGA